GAAGGUGUACUGUGAGGUAUGCUGGAGGUAUCAGAAGUGCGAAUGCUGACAUAAGUAACGAUAAAGCGGGUGAAAAGCCCGCUCGCCGGAAGACCAAGGGUUCCUGUCCAACGUUAAUCGGGGCAGGGUGAGUCGACCCCUAAGGCGAGGCCGAAAGGCGUAGUCGAUGGGAAACAGGUUAAUAUUCCUGUACUUGGUGUUACUGCGAAGGGGGGACGGAGAAGGCUAUGUUGGCCGGGCGACGGUUGUCCCGGUUUAAGCGUGUAGGCUGAUUUUCCAGGUAAAUCCGGAAAAUCAAGGCUGAGGCGUGAUGACGAGGCACUACGGUGCUGAAGCAACAAAUGCCCUGCUUCCAGGAAAAGCCUCUAAGCAUCAGGUAACAUCAAAUCGUACCCCAAACCGACACAGGUGGUCAGGUAGAGAAUACCAAGGCGCUUGAGAGAACUCGGGUGAAGGAACUAGGCAAAAUGGUGCCGUAACUUCGGGAGAAGGCACGCUGAUAUGUAGGUGAAGUCCCUCGCGGAUGGAGCUGAAAUCAGUCGAAGAUACCAGCUGGCUGCAACUGUUUAUUAAAAACACAGCACUGUGCAAACACGAAAGUGGACGUAUACGGUGUGACGCCUGCCCGGUGCCGGAAGGUUAAUUGAUGGGGUUAGCGGUAACGCGAAGCUCUUGAUCGAAGCCCCGGUAAACGGCGGCCGUAACUAUAACGGUCCUAAGGUAGCGAAAUUCCUUGUCGGGUAAGUUCCGACCUGCACGAAUGGCGUAAUGAUGGCCAGGCUGUCUCCACCCGAGACUCAGUGAAAUUGAACUCGCUGUGAAGAUGCAGUGUACCCGCGGCAAGACGGAAAGACCCCGUGAACCUUUACUAUAGCUUGACACUGAACAUUGAGCCUUGAUGUGUAGGAUAGGUGGGAGGCUUUGAAGUGUGGACGCCAGUCUGCAUGGAGCCGACCUUGAAAUACCACCCUUUAAUGUUUGAUGUUCUAACGUUGGCCCCUAAUCGGGGUUGCGGACAGUGUCUGGUGGGUAGUUUGACUGGGGCGGUCUCCUCCUAAAGAGUAACGGAGGAGCACGAAGGUUGGCUAAUCCUGGUCGGACAUCAGGAGGUUAGUGCAAUGGCAUAAGCCAGCUUGACUGCGAGCGUGACGGCGCGAGCAGGUGCGAAAGCAGGUCAUAGUGAUCCGGUGGUUCUGAAUGGAAGGGCCAUCGCUCAACGGAUAAAAGGUACUCCGGGGAUAACAGGCUGAUACCGCCCAAGAGUUCAUAUCGACGGCGGUGUUUGGCACCUCGAUGUCGGCUCAUCACAUCCUGGGGCUGAAGUAGGUCCCAAGGGUAUGGCUGUUCGCCAUUUAAAGUGGUACGCGAGCUGGGUUUAGAACGUCGUGAGACAGUUCGGUCCCUAUCUGCCGUGGGCGCUGGAGAACUGAGGGGGGCUGCUCCUAGUACGAGAGGACCGGAGUGGACGCAUCACUGGUGUUCGGGUUGUCAUGCCAAUGGCACUGCCCGGUAGCUAAAUGCGGAAGAGAUAAGUGCUGAAAGCAUCUAAGCACGAAACUUGCCCCGAGAUGAGUUCUCCCUGACUCCUUGAGAGUCCUGAAGGAACGUUGAAGACGACGACGUUGAUAGGCCGGGUGUGUAAGCGCAGCGAUGCGUUGAGCUAACCGGUACUAAUGAACCGUGAGGCUUAACCUUACAAC
Molecule: ribosomal RNA, 1700 nt
Filed under: Escherichia coli
Lineage: Bacteria; Pseudomonadati; Pseudomonadota; Gammaproteobacteria; Enterobacterales; Enterobacteriaceae
Description: partial 23S ribosomal RNA
Rfam family: Bacterial large subunit ribosomal RNA
Source: RNAcentral